This 465-nucleotide ribosomal RNA is filed under the name Vreelandella stevensii. Its description in RNAcentral is "partial 16S ribosomal RNA". It matches the Rfam family "Bacterial small subunit ribosomal RNA", at positions 338 to 795 of the family's 1533-position model. Lineage: Bacteria; Pseudomonadati; Pseudomonadota; Gammaproteobacteria; Oceanospirillales; Halomonadaceae. The record is from RNAcentral.
CCUACGGGUGGCAGCAGUGGGGAAUAUUGGACAAUGGGCGAAAGCCUGAUCCAGCCAUGCCGCGUGUGUGAAGAAGGCCUUCGGGUUGUAAAGCACUUUCAGUGGGGAAGAAAGCCUUGGGGCUAAUACCCUCGAGGAAGGACAUCACCCACAGAAGAAGCACCGGCUAACUCCGUGCCAGCAGCCGCGGUAAUACGGAGGGUGCGAGCGUUAAUCGGAAUUACUGGGCGUAAAGCGCGCGUAGGCGGUCUGAUAAGCCGGUUGUGAAAGCCCCGGGCUCAACCUGGGAACGGCAUCCGGAACUGUCAGGCUAGAGUGCAGGAGAGGAAGGUAGAAUUCCCGGGGUAGCGGUGAAAUGCGUAGAGAUCGGGAGGAAUACCAGUGGCGAAGGCGGCCUUCUGGACUGACACUGACGCUGAGGUGCGAAAGCGUGGGUAGCAAACAGGAUUAGAUACCCGUGUAGUC